This 429-nucleotide ribosomal RNA is filed under the name uncultured bacterium. RNAcentral describes it as "bacterial SSU rRNA". It matches the Rfam family "Bacterial small subunit ribosomal RNA", at positions 355 to 775 of the family's 1533-position model. The record is from RNAcentral.
UGGGGAAUAUUGGGCAAUGGGCGAAAGCCUGACCCAGCGACGCCGCGUGGGUGAUGAAGGCCUUCGGGUUGUAAAGCCCUUUCGUGCGGAAAGAACAGCCCUGUAGUUAAUACCUGCAGGGUUUGACGGUACCGCAGGAAGAAGCACCGGCUAACUCCGUGCCAGCAGCCGCGGUAAUACGGAGGGUGCAAGCGUUGUUCGGAAUUAUUGGGCGUAAAGGGCGCGUAGGUGGUUGUGAUAGUCAGAUGUGAAAUCCUUUGGCUUAACCGAAGAACUGCAUCGGAGACUUCACAGCUGGAUGACAGGAGAGGGAGACGGAAUUCCGGGUGUAGAGGUGAAAUUCGUAGAUAUCGGGAGGAAAACCAGUGGCGAAGGCGGUUUCCUGGCCUGAUACUGACACUGAGGCGCGAAAGCGUGGGGAGCAAACAG